This is a long non-coding RNA of Bos taurus (domestic cattle), 2418 nucleotides long. Lineage: Eukaryota; Metazoa; Chordata; Mammalia; Artiodactyla; Bovidae. The record is from Ensembl.
GUUAUAUAUCAGUGAUAUCUUAAUUUUUUUAAAAAAAGGAUGCAAACUAUUUGGGCUUCCCCUUUGGUUGCAGGACUGUAUUUCUAUGGUCCCAAUAUCACUCUGAGACUGUCAUGGGGUGAUGGUUUUAUAUGUUUGGAAUGAAUUACACUAAUGAGCCGUAUGGAGAUACAUUUAUAUACAUAUAAAGCAAUGCAAUAUGGUGGUUCAGAACAUGAACUUUUGAGCUGGCUGAACUUCUGUCCAAAUUCCAGCUCUGUAGCUGACUUUCCAGUUGAGCUUGUUUCUAAACAUCUUUGAGUGCCAGUUUCAUCAUCUAUAAAGAACAGAGAUAGCAGAGCUUCCCUCGUCAGAUUGUUGUGGGGAUUAAAGGAUAUAACUCAUUUGCAGAGCACCUAAGAGAGCAUCUGGCAUGCAGGGCAUCAUCAUUGGUCAUCAAAGCAACCCUUUCCAAUGAUGCCUUGUGAAAAUAGUUAUUGCUUAAGAAGCCCUUCCAACCUGCUGAGUCUCUCAGGGAGGCCUCCAAGACUUAGUAUUCGAGUUGGGGUCAGAACAGCAAAGAUUAUUUUCAGAUUCAGGGUUCCUGCAGGAUGUUCACCAGUAGACAGAUGUGGUUACAGGGAUCUAGAUUUACCUACCCUUUAUGUUAGAACAGGAACUAGCAAGGGUCAACCCUUGUGGCUUUGCGAGAGUAUGUAAUUCAACCUAAUUGAAAGGCAGAGUCCAUGUAACACUACUAAACCAGAAAAUGCGCUGUACCUGAUGAUCCGUGUGUGUGUGUCAGGGGAUGGGAAAAAAAAGUUAGAUAUGGAAAAGAGGAUCUUUGUGUUCAUACCUCUGGUGCAGUUUUCCUAGAACUCUUAGAGGCAGGCCCAGAAGUGGAAACAAGCCUGUCCUUGACUGUGCACACGUGCCUUAAACCAAGAGUGAUUUAAAGGAUGGUGCAGAGGCCGCCAUAAACUAGAGGGUGUGCAAAGGAAGUGUUUUCCUGAGGCUGAAGUCCUCUUCCCCAAGCUGUCUGUACAGAGAGGCCAUGGGUCACCCCUGGACUGACUGACCAGGCCUGGUGUCUGGCUGCCUGUGCUGACUUCAUCUUUGACCCGGAAAAAGCCACAUUUCCUCUUCAGGCCUCUGUGCCUUCUGCCCAGUGAGCUGGUUGGACCCUGUGAACUUUCAGGCAGCAUGGAGUUUCUUAGGCUGGGUGACUCCUCACUGCAUAAUGACCCCGUGGCUCAAGCAGGUGAAGGUCGUCUACAGCCAUUGUUGUUUAGUCGUUAAGUCAUGUCCAAUUCUUUGUGACCCCAUGGACUGAAGCCAGCCAGGCUUCUCUGUCCAUGGGAUUCUCCAGGCAAAAAUACUGGAGUGGGUUGACAUUUCCUCCUCCAAGGGAUCUUUCCAACUCAGGGAUCGAACCCUUGUCUCCUGCACUGGCAGGCAGAUUCAUUACCACAGAGGCACCAGGGGCGGUGCUGAGCUUCAGUAGGUCAGGUGCAUCCUCGCUGUUCGACGACUCCGCCUGGUUGGAGCAGGUGAGAGUCAUCCACAGUCGAGCUGCAGGCUUUCCUUGGUGGAUCUGAACUCACACACUCUCCAGUCCAUAGCCGAAGCUGCAGCUCUCAAAGGCAUCAGGCUCAGGAGGAGAGACAGACACCAUGACAAGUGUCCACUCUAAGAUCCCCAUCGAAUGGAGGAAACAGAUAUAUGUUCAAAAAUUAGUGGCAUAAGAGCUAUCAUCAAGACAUCCUUAUGGUCUGAUGGAGAUCAGAGGAAAAGCUGUUAAUAGCCUGGGAUUGUCAUGGAAGGCUUCUUGGAGGAGAUGAUGGUGACUGAGCUUAUCUUGAUGGGAUGAAGCAAAAGGGGGUCAGCUUGGAGCCAAGUAAGAAAAAGAUGCUCCCUCUCUGACUUUAAACAUACCUGCGCAGUGAGUGUGCCACAUUUCAAAAAUGAGAACUGAUGAAGCAGGAAGAAAAGGCGGAUUGGAAUCUGAAUGCAUUAGUAGCGGUCUCUUGUGAGAGUUGGCUGGAAAGCGCUCAGGGCAUCCUGCAUAGGGCUGUCUGCCGAAUUGACUUGGCCUGUGUCCUUUCCCUUCCCAACUCUGCUCCCUUCAUAUGUCCUAAUAGGUUAUGGCUUCCAGGAGGAAAUAUGCUGUGCAUUUUCAGAGAGGCAUUUUGGAAACACAAAGCCUGACAUCAAAGGAGUAGUUUGUUCUUUCUAGGAAAAAAAAAAGUAAAAUGUUGCUAUAAAAAGUAAUAAAGUCUAAAGUAGAAAGUACAAGUCCCUUGAUUAGUUUAUUUAUUUAUUUAUUUAUUACCUUUUAGAAAAUCUCCAAUGCAAUCAAAUUACACCUGCUUUGUAAUUUUUUCCUACUUUCCAUUUCUUAGAUUUCUUAAAAAGUGAGUCAGUAGCAAUGCCUUAAUG